CUCGGAGGGAACUGAACGCGGGUGGGUGGGAAAGGGGUUGCAGGAGGACCGACCCCGGGGGCCAUGCGCGUCCCAACCCCGGUUUGCUUACUACGGGGCGGGUGGGAAAAGGGUAGGGAGAGGGAUGGCCCCGCUGCGCCCUCGAAGCAUUUCUGGCCCUGCGGGAGGAGCCGUGGAGCGGCCGGUGGCGGUGGAUGGACGCGUGGCGGGACGUGGGAGAGCCCGAGAGGGGACUUCUACCAUGGAUGCUUCAGUGGAGAUUGCUGCAUCGCAGGGGGGUUGGACUAAAGGACCUUUGGGGAUCCCGUCUGACUACAGUUCUGUGGUUCUCCGCGCUGAGGAAGUGCGGCAGGGUCGGGAGGAGGGCGCGGUGCCCGAGAAAGAAAGAGAGAGAGAGAGAGAGAGAGAAAGAAAGAAAGAAAGAGAAAGAAAGAGCCUUCAGUAACUUGUGGGGGGGGGGGGGGACACGUCUGGAGGAGCCAGGAAGUGAGAGUCUUGCUCACCCUAAAGAGCAGCGCACAGGCGAUGAUGGUGAUGGGUCUUGCUUGCCUUUUUAAAAGCUUGGACGUGAGGGGUUUUUGCAGGUGGGUUGACACCAAAAUAUGAGGCAGAGAGGAACAGAGACCUUAAAGCAGGUGGUCUGGAGAAGAGAGCUGUGUGUCUAGUGAGGGGUUGGGGGAGGUUGUGUGAAGGAUCAAAGGCAAGUUCAGGGUUGCCACUCCUUCUUUCCCCCCUUUUCCUCCCCCUUGGCAAGAGGUUUAAGCAGAAAUCCAUCAAUCGCAGGAAUAGGGAGAAUGGCACCCUGCUGGAUUUCGUCCUGUUAAAAGGGUGCAGAGCAGGCGCCAAGGAAAAGGUGGCAACCCUUGGGAAGUGGACUGGGGGGAGCGCAGGAAAAAAGGGAUGGUUGGGGAGGAAGGGUGCCUGUGGGAGUACAAUCGAGGACUUCUCACACGCUCUUUUAAAAACUGGGAUUGGGGGCAAAAUCUAUGGGGCGAAGAGAAGUUAUGAGGGGCUGGUAGAGGUUGGAUUCUGGGGGCGGGGGGUAUGGAGAAACCGGAGCGAAAAACUGGGAGAAGAUGGUGUGGGGGAUGCUGUGUGGGUUGCAGAGAGAGAUAAUUGGGAGUGUUGGUGGGGGGAAUUGAAGGGAGCUCAGGGGAGAGGCUGAAUGGCAGCAAAGUGAUGUAGGCAGAGAGUGAGUGAAUGAGACAUUAACAAAGCAAGGAGGGUCUUGUAUUUGUGGAGGAGUAAGAACGUGUGUGAAAAGCCGAAUGCCUUGCCCUGGGAGGAAUGGAGACAAAGAAAAGCUGAGCCUCUGUUAACAAAACGCAGCAAAUUAGCAACAGUUAAAAUCAUGGUUGUGUAACUAUUGUCCCUAAAAUAUCACAAAAGACGUUCAAACAAUCAAGCUGUGCAAUCAAGUUAUUAAAGUGACUUCAUCUCAAGCAUCAAAGUGUAUUUUCUCUCCCACCCACCACCCGAAAUGGCCCUGUCACCAGCUAAUUUGUCCAGAAAUAAAUAAAUCUGUGGCCACAGUUAUUCCAAUCAGGUAACACUGAGCAUGAAAGGCACACAUUCUGUUCCUUAUAGCCUCCGUCAUCCUAUGUCCAUCUUCAAACUAGAGGUGGAAUCAUCUUAUGCAGGAUAUUUUAGAGUUCCACACCAACUCAUGUCCUCAUAUCACUAAAUGUUUAAUUGAACAUGGAGUUUCUAUCAGUAUGUAUUUCUGAAAAUGGGGAAAAUGUCUACUCAUUUCUCUCUUCUCCCCUCCUGAGAAAUUUGCAGUUGGAAACAUACAGAAUUAUUUUGUGUGCAUAAGCCAAUGUGUGCCUCUCAUGUAAUGUGUCUAUAGCCAGUUUUUCCUCAUCUGUGCAUUUUGUUGCUAUAAACAGACAUGGUGCUGUUUUAAUUCUGUGCAUUAUUGUUUCUUUUAGGGUCCAGUGAGGACCGGGAUAGCUGAGUUGGUUAGAGGGGUAGUGCUGAUAACACCAAGGUUGCAGCUUUGAUCCCAGAGCUCAACAACUUCGGGGUAAAAUUGAGAAAAAAGAAAAAAGCUCAACAACUUCAAUCCUUUAAAAAGGUCAGCAACUUUGGUCAGCCCUCAUGCAUGUUCACUUAUUCAAAUCUGGCCCUCUUUGAAAAAAGUUUGGGCACCCCUGGACUAGAUGGUCUUUAGGGUCCCUUCCAACUCUAUGGUUCUGUAUGAUUUAGACUUAAGAAAUAGGCCUUCAGGAAAGAAAGGCUAAAGGUCAGUACACACAAUAGAAGAUCAAGAAUACAUCUUGGGUGGAAUGUAUACAGUGGUACCUCCAGUUACGAACUUAAUCAGUUCUGGAGGUCCAUUUGUAACCUGAAACCACUCGUAACAUGAAGCGUGCUUUCGCUAAUGUCACCUCCUGCUGCUGCCGCGCUGCCGGCACUCGACUUCCGCUCGCAUCCCGGGGCAAAGUUUGCAACAUGGGGCAUCUACUUACGGGUUAGCGGAGCUUGUAACCUGCAGCGUUCGCAAGGAGGACGGUAUAUAACACGAGGUUCCACUGUACUUUGGUUUUGAAAUUCUGAUGUGAACAGAAGCAGAAGUAUAUACAGUGGUACCUCAGGUUAAGAACUUAAUUCGUUCUGGAGGCCCGUUCUUAACCUGAAACUGUUCUUAACCUGAAGCACCACUUUAGCUAAUGGGGCCUCCCGCUGCCGCCGCACCGCCGUUGCACAAUUUCUGUUCUCAUCCUAAAGCAAAGUUCUUAACCCAAGGUACUAUUUCUGGGUUAGCGGAGUCUGUAACCUGAAGCAUCUGUAACCUGGGGUACCACUGUAUUCAGGUCACUAGCCUCCCCCCCACACUCUUUUUUCAGGUCUUGUAGGUCAUCAGUAAGUGCAUCUUUUAUUCCACACAUUUGUGUUUGGAGAAUCUGACAGUGAGGGUGGGUCAUAUUUCCACGGGCUCGUCGCAUUGGCUGAUCACAUUUGGUGGACAUUCUCAAUAGAAGGCGAUGGCAUCAGGUCUAGAAGGAACCCCCUGGUGACUCCCAUUCGUUUGCCUGAUUAAAUGGACAGCUGUUUCUGGUUUGGUGCAGUAAGUAAUCUAUAUUUGAGGGAGCAUGAGGAGAGAUUGCAGUUGUGGAAGAGUUCUGACAGAUGCUAACACAAAAGGUCUGUAUGCCUGACAUUCAGUCUGAAAACGAGGCUAUUGCAUUACCGAUCAUAUUUUUAAAAGGAGGCAAUCACAAGGGAGGAAAUGGCAUAUGUCACGAAAUACAUUUGUCAGGAAACCAGUGUCACUCCAGUGGAUAAUGUAAUAUACAAACUUGCCCUAAACACUCUUCAAGUUACUUUUAUCUUGGAUAGUUAGAUUUCAGGUAGGUACCACCGGCAGGGGGGAGGGGGCAAAGGAUACUCCCUUUUAGAUACUCAGUUGCCUUGUUUUUAAUGUAUUGCAGUAGUAGGUUACAUCUUCCAUACCCCGUGGCAAUGUGUGUAUUAUCUAGUUCAUGGGUAGGCAAACUGAGGCCCAGGGGCCAAAUCCGGCCCAAUCGCCUUCUAAAUCUGGCCCGCGGACGGUCCAGGAAUCAGCAUAGUUUUACAUGAGUAGAAUGUGUCCUUUUCUUUAAAAUGCAUCUCUGGAUUAUUUGUGAGGCAUAGGAAUUCGUUCAUUUUUCCCCCUUCAAAAUAUAGUCCAGCCCCCUAUGAGGUCUGAGGGACAGUGGACCGGUCCCCUGCUGAAAAAGUUUGCUGACCCCUGAUCUAGUUGGACUGCAGUGAUGUUCUCUCUCACACACACUCCUUAAAAGAUGGAACCAUUUUAUCAUGGCAGAAGACUUUGUGGGCCAGAAUUGAUCACAAAUAUGAAAUGUUCAGCUAAGUAGGUAAGGUAUAAGCACGCUCUGAAUGCUGAGAGAUCAUGUGUGGUUCCACACCUCCUGCCCAGGUGAAGAAUGUUGAAGGCCAAACAAUGUUACAGACAGUCGCUGGUGUCGCCACACAACACUGAGCAGCACAAAUAAACUAUGAGAUUGACAUGGCUUCUGAAUGGGGCGGAUUAACCGUUCUGCUUCAGAGGCCAAGCUUUCGUUCACUUGAGGAUAAGGGCACAUUUAAAAGUUUGGUAGAACUGGUUUUUAACACACAUUCAGUGCAUUCCAUGGUAUUUGUUUUCAAGGCGGCAGCAGCCCGCACCAUGCUUAGAACAUAGGUCUUGAUUUUACCCUGAGAUUACCUCUGCUUCCUGGCGAAGGGGUCUGUUCUGCUCCUUGAGAAAUCCACAGUUCACAGUAUGAUCCCACUGACAGCAGGACCCCGCUUCCACUUGGCCACGUGAUAAGGGAUCCCGGAUGAGGGGUUGUGUUCCGAGUUAGGGAAAGCUGAAAAUGCUGGUGGGGCAUGACACAACACAGAUAGGAAAUUAGAUGUGUACCUGGGUGGACAGAGAAGAAUAAGAGGCGCAGACAUCAAAGUGCCUGAUACCUUUUCCUGGAUCGUUCAGCCCGGACACUGAGAUCCAGCGCCGAGGGCCUUCUGGCUGUUCCCUCAUUGCGAGAAGUGAGGUUACAGGGAACCAGACAGAGGGCCUUCUCGGUAGUGGCGCCCGCCCUGUGGAACGCCCUCCCUUCAGAUGUCAAGGAAAUAAGCAGCUGUCUUAUCUUUAAAAGACAUCUGACGGCAGCCUUGUUUAGGGAAGUUUUUAAUAUUUAAUGCUGUAUUGUUUUUAACAUUCGAUUGGAAGCCGCCCAGAGUGGCUGGGGAAACUCAGCCAGAUGGGCAGGGAAUGAAUGAAUGAAUGAAUGAAUGAAAUGGUGUAAGUUUCGCUCCUAUGCUAACUGAACUGAUCAGCCCACCAUAUAGGAGCUAACUCCUAGGGGGUUGUUGGGGCUUUGACCCCACAAUAAAAUGUUUGGGGGGAGCCUGCAAGUAGGAAACAGAAAAACCGAAAUAUAGGAAAUAGGGGUGCAGAAGGACCUAUAAUGUGCAAAGAGUGUUGUGGAAUACAUCAGAAAAGGGCAAAAUGGAGACGAGACUGCAGAGAGAAGAGUGGGUGGAGAAGAGAAGAAAAGAAAAGAAAAAGAAAUAGGGUAAUUUGGCUACAGAGAUUUAAGGGUAGAGAAAACUGAGUAUGAACUUUAGGAUAGGGAAAGAGAAAGAAAGCUGUGGAAUGGAGAGACCACAGGAAGGGUUAACAGAAAAAGAUUAUGAGGAACCUGAAAUGAUGCAAAGAGAGGAAAAGUCUAUGGAGUGUAGACAGAAAAGGGGAAGUUAACAGUGAAUGUCUGGUUUUGUUUUAAAGAAACAUGCUUUUCCAGAAAUAAGGUAGCAAGGCAGCCUUUUUGAUGCUGCCCUCAACGUGCUUUGUCUUGUGAGCCGGAAUCUAUGGCGAUCUCAAGCCGCCGGCAUCAUAUAAAUCUUUAUCGCUGUACAAAACUUACACUAAACUUUGCUGGCAUAAAACUGCCCAAGAUGAAUGUGGUUUUUCUGAAGGUCACCAGGCCUGCAUGCCCACUACUGUAAUGACCAGCUUUCCUUUACAGAUUGUUCACACCAUAGUUAGGUAAGUGCGAUUGUGAUUUUAAAGGGUAUAACGAUUCAAUAUCCUGCCUUUUAUUUAUUUUUUACCGCCUGGUCUAAAACAUCUGAUAAAGAAAACAAUGAUGCCGUGUUCUGCCAAAUGCUCCAAAGGAACCAAAGCAUGUUUAAAGGCAUGGCUCGUUGGCUGCUAUGUUCAUGCCGUGCCUAUGAUGGUUAGGGACUCUUACAGAUGGUCACCUUUUAAGCACAACACACAGUUGUUGCUCUUUGAAAACAGUAACCAGUCAGAUGAGAUGCUUGAUCCUCGGCCUCCUAUUUUGCAUUGGAAAAUCUCAGGAAGGAUAGCUUGUUAAGUGGAAAAGGUCACAAAUCUGAAUACCAUGGAUCUGGCAGAUUAUAAUUACUAACUCCGUCAGAUGCUACGUUCAUCCUGGACUGAAAUAUUAGCCAUUCUCACAUAUGGAGACCAGGUGGGAAAAGAAGAUCUGGUUAAUGUUUUGAAAAUGUGAGAAGACAUGUGGGAAUUGGUUUUCUCUUUUUGCACAAUUAAAACAAAAAAUACGUUGGCAGACUCCAAAUACAUUGAUCAAGGAAAAUUAACAAGUUACGAAAAAGGUAAUUUUAAAAACUCUGCAAGGAUUACAAAAUCUAUUAAUGGGUUGAUAAGGUACAAAUAUUAUAAAUAUAUAUAUGAGAUCUACUCUGGACUUCUUAUGAGUCAUUGUUUUCUGUUAAGUAUAUAAAUUAAAUAUAUGCUUGGUAAAUCUUCAUGUUUGAAGGUGGGAGGAAAAUUGAUUUUAGCAGUCAGAAACUUUUGUGUAGUUAAUUUACAUCGGAACGAAGCUGUGUGCAUGUGGAUUGCACUUGCAAAAGUGGUAGCAGAUUAUUUAAAUCCGUAGCCCCAUAUUUCAGCAGGAGAGUAGGAGGCACAACUCGAGUCAGACUCAAAAUAAUAAAGGCACAGUUUUGUUGAAUUAAUCUCAUGCAAACAAACAAAUGCCGAAGAUCAAGCGUCUUGCCGUAAUUCUUUUCUGGAUCAUGCUUUGUGGUGAUAGUUGAUUCUCUAGCCUCUAGGCACUUGGCCAUCUUAUAUUUCUAAUAUUUUGUGUUAUUGGUUGGUAUUAGGGGGCUGUCAGGAUACUAGAAGCUGCUUUAUGCUGAAUCAGACCAUUGGUUCAUCUCAAUAUUCUCUACACUGACUGUCAGUGGGUCACCAGAGUUGCAGGCUGGAUAUUUCUGGAGAUGCUAGGAAUUGGACCUGUGACCUUCUGCAUGCAAACCAGAUGUUCUGCCACUGAGCUAUGACCUUGCUUUGGGUCUUUCUUAACUCAAUGUGCAGUACAGUGGUGCCCCGCAAGACGAAUGCCUCGCAAGACGGAAAAACCGCUAGACGAAAGGGUUUUCCGUUUUGAAGUUGCUUCGCAGGACGAAUUCCCCUAUGGGCUUGCUUUGCAAGACGAAAAUAUCUUGCGAGUCUUGAGAUUUUUUUUUCGCUCCCCCCCCCCUUUAUCUAAUCUGCUAAGCCUUUAAUAGCCUUUAAUAGCCUUUUAGCAGCUAAUCCCCUAAGCCUUUAAGCCUUUAAUAGCCGCUAAACCGCUAAUAGCGCUAUUAGCGCUAAUCCGUCAAUGGGCUUGCUUCGCAAGACGAAAAAACCGCUAGACGAAGACUCUCGUGGAACGGAUUAAUUUCGUCUUGCGAGGCACCACUGUAUUGUUCUUUGACCGUAUUCUAUUCUAUUGUUAAGUUUUAUUCCAUACAGUGGUACCUCAGGUUACAUACGCUUCAGGUUACAUACGCUUCAGGUUACAGACUCCGCUAAACCAGAAAUAGUGCUUCAGGUUAAGAACUUUGAAUCAUAGAAUCAUAGAAUCAUAGAGUUGGAAGAGACCACAAGGGCCAUCGAGUCCAACCCCCUGCCAAGCAGGAAACACCAUCAGAGCACUCCUGACAUAUGGUUUUCAAGCGUCUGCUUAAAGACCUCCAAAGAAGGAGACUCCACCACACUCCUUGGCAGCAAAUUCCACUGUCGAACAGCUCUUACUGUCAGGAAGUUCUUCCUAAUGUUUAGGUGGAAUCUUCUUUCUUGUAGUUUGGAUCCAUUGCUCCGUGUCCGCUUCUCUGGAGUAGCAGAAAACAACCUUUCUCCCUCCUCUCUGUGACAUCCUUUUAUAUAUUUGAACAUGGCUAUCAUAUCACCCCUUAACCUCCUCUUCUCCAGGCUAAACAUGCCCAGCUCUCUUAGCCGUUCCUCAUAAGGCAUCGUUUCCAGGCCUUUGACCAUUUUGGUUGCCCUCCUCUGGACACAUUCCAGUUUGUCAGUGUCCUUCUUGAACUGUGGUGCCCAGAACUGGACACAGUACUCCAGGUGAGGUCUGACCAGAGCAGAAUACAGUGGCACUAUUACUUCCCUUGAUCUAGAUGCUAUACUCCUAUUGAUGCAGCCCAGAAUUGCAUUGGCUUUUUUAGCUGCCGCGUCACACUGUUGGCUCAUGUCAAGUUUGUGGUCAACCAAGACUCCUAGAUCCUUUUCACAUGUACCAGGUGUCACCCAUCUUGUAUUUGUGCCUCUCAUUUUUUUUGCCCAAGUGCAAUACUUUACAUUUCUCCCUGUUAAAAUUCAUCUUGUUUGUUUUGGCCCAGUUCUCUAAUCUGUCAAGGUCGUUUUGAAGUGUGAUCCUGUCCUCUGGGGUGUUAGCCACCCCUCCCAAUUUGGUGUCAUCUGCAAAUUUGAUCAGGAUGCCCUUGAGUCCAUCAUCCAGGUCGUUGAUAAAAAUGUUGAAUAAGACCGGGCCCAAGACAGAACCCUGUGGCACCCCACUAGUCACUCUUCUCCAGGAUGAAGAGGAACCAUUGAUGAGCACCCUUUGGGUUCGGUCAGUCAGCCAGUUACAAAUCCACUGAGUGGUAGCAUAGUCAAGACCACAUUUUACCAGCUUCUUUACAAGAAUAUCAUGAGGCACCUUGUCAAAUGCCUUGCUGAAAUCAAGGUAGGCUACAUCCACUGCGUUCCCUUCAUCUAGCAGGCUUGUAAUUCUGACAAACAACGAGAUCAGGUUAGUCUGACAUGACUUAUUUUUCAGAAAUCCAUGCUGACUAUUGGUGAUCACAGCAUUCCUUUCUAGGUGCUCACAGACUGUUUGCUUACUGAUCUGCUCCAGAAUCUUCCCUGGUAUUGAUGUCAGACUAACUGGGCGGUAAUUAUUUGGGUCCUCUCUUUUCCCCUUUUUUUGAAAAUAGGGACAACAUUUGCCCUCCUCCAGUCUGCCGGGACUUCGCCUGUUCUCCAGGAAUUCUCAAAGAUGAUUGCCAGUGGUUCUGAGAUCACAUCUGCCAGUUCUUUUAAUACUCUUGGAUGCAGUUCAUCUGGCCCUGGAGACUUGAAUACAUCUAAACUAGCCAAGUAUUCUUGUACUAUCUCCUUAGUUAUUCUGGGCUGUGUUUCCUUUGCUGAAUCAUUUGCUCCAAAUUCUUCAGGUCGGGCAUUGUUUUCUUUAUCGGAGAAGACUGAGGCAAAGAAGGCAUUGAGGAGUUCAGCCCUUUCUGUGUCCCCUGUUUGCAUUUCACCAUCUUCUCCUCUGAGUGACCCCACUGUUUCUUUGUUCUUCCUUUUGCUACGGACAUACCCAUAAAAGCCGUUUUUGUUGCUUUUAACCUCUCUAGCAAGCCUGAGUUCAUUCUGUGCUUUAGCUUUUCUGACUUUGUGUCUACACGUGCUGGCUAUUUGUUUGAAUUCCUCUUUGGUGGUUUCGCCCCUUUUCCAUUUUUUGUACACAUCCUUUUUAAUCUUAACUCAGUUAAAAGUUCUUUAGAUAGCCACCCUGGCUUCUUUAGGCACCUUCCAUGUUUCCGUCUCAUUGGUAUUGCCUGACGUUGUGCUUUUAGUAUCUCCCUCUUAACAAACUCCCAGCCAUCAUGAACUCCCUUUCCUUUUAGUAUUACUGUCCAUGGGAUCUCACCCAGCACUUCCCUAAGUUUUAUGAAGUCAGCUUUCUUAAAGUCAAGAAAUUGAGUCCUAGUAUGCUUGGCUGCUCCUUUCCGCUGUAUAGUAAACUUCAGAAGAGCAUGAUCACUCGUGCCUAAUGAUCCUUCCACUUCUACCCCACUAACCAGGUCAUCAACAUUGGUUAGGACCAGAUCUAAAAUGGCUGUUCCUCUUGUUGCUUCUCCCACUUUCUGGACAAUGAAGUUGUCUGCAAGGCCAGUGAGGAAUCUGUUUGACCUUAUGCUCUUGGCUGAGUUUGACAUCCAACAAAUAUCCGGGUAAUUGAAGUCCCCCAUUACUACUAUCUCCCUUCCUUUUGCAUGCUUGGCCAUCUGUUCCAGGAAGGCAUCAUCUAUGUCCUCCGUUUGGCUUGGGGAUCUAUAGUAAACUCCCACAAUGAGGUCACUGUUAUUCUUCUCUCCCUUAAUUUUGACCCAAAUGCUCUCACUUUGGUUUUGAGGUUCUAAAUCUUGGAUCUCUUCACAGGUAUACACAUCCCUGACAUAUAACGCCACUCCUCCUCCUUUCUUGUCUGGUCUGUUUCUCUGAAAUAGAUUGUAUCCCCCCAUUAUUACAUUCCAAUCUUGGGACUUAUCCCACCAGGUUUCAGUGAUGCCUAUUAUGUCAUAUUUAGUUUGCUGUACCAAGAGCUCAAGCUCAUCUUGUUUAUUUCCCAUGCUUUGCGCAUUAGUGUACAGACAUUGAAGUCCAUUAAUCAUUCCCCGUGACUCUUAUUUAAGGAUUUUUUCCUCCCACCACUAGGUCUGUGUGCUGUUUGCUCCAUUUGGUCUAUGACAUUUGGAUGAUCAUCUUCAUCAAUUGAUAGACUCCUACCUUCAGGAGCAUUGUCUCCCUCCCCCACAUUAGUCAGUUUAAAGCCCUCCUGAUGAGGUUUCUGAGAUUUUUGGCAAAAACAUUUCUCCCAACCGUUGUGAGGUGCAGCCCAUCGCUUGCCAGAAGUCCAUCUUCAAGAAACUGCAGUCCGUGAUCUAAGAAUCCAAACCGUUCCUGUUUACACCAUUUGCGAAGCCAGCUGUUCACUUCCACUAUUUUUCCCUCUCUCCCUGGACCACGUCGUUCAACUGGGAGGACAGAUGAGAUCACAAUUUGUGCAUUUAAUUGCUUCAAUUUCCUGCCCAGAGCCUCGUAGUCUCUUUUGAUCUUCUGGAGGCUAUUGCUUGCAGUGUCAUUGGUUCCCACAUGAACUAAGAGGAAGGGGUAUUUGUCAGUGGGUUUUAUGAUUCCUUGCAGUCGUUCAGUUACAUCUUGGAUCUUAGCCCGGGAGACAGCACACUUCCCGAGACAUCUUGUCAGGCCCACAGAUCACUGCUUCUGUUCCCUCAGUAGGGAAUCCCCUAUCACCACUACACGCCUCCUCUUAGGUUUGGUCGGGGUUCUUCCGUGAGCUGUCCGCUCCAAGGUCGCCUGCACAUUCCCUGAGGACUGACUUUGCUGCUCAUCUUCAUAUACCUGAUCGACUGUAAUGAGGGAGAGAUCCUCAAAUGGAGUCUGCUCUUCGUCUUCCAUGCUAGGGGAGAGGACCUCAAAGCGAUUGUGUAUUUCUAAACAAUCAGAGCGAACCCUGGGCCUCCUACUUCUUUGAGUCACGUUUCUCCAUAUAUCUGGCUCCUGUGUUGGUGAACUAGCGUCCUUCUCAGGGGAGUCCCCUGUCUCCUCCUUGGUGGAGACGGUGUGCUCUGUUGCUUCCAAGAACAGCUCCAGCUCUCUAAUUCUUUGGAGCGUAGCUACACGUUCCUCCAGUUGCUGGACCUUGUCUUUUAAGAGGGCAAUCAACAUGCAAUUGCUGCAGGUAAAGCUGCCUGCAACCUUUGGCAAGAUGGCAAACAUUGUGCAGGAACCGCAGGCGACUGCAGCUGUUCCCUGCCCCUCCAUCUUGUUAACGUGUCGUUGGGGGUGGCUACAGCAGUCCUCCAUCAUAAAAAGUGUGAAGACAGGAAAAAUAACUCCCCCCACAAAAAAACCUAGGUCUCCCCCAACAAAGGUUUGAGACUAGCUCCCCUAAAUCUAAAAGAUGGAUCAAACUGCGCGCACCGCUGCCCUGCAAGCUCUGAUAAGCUCCUCCCACAGCUAAUCACCUGUCUCAACAGAAACCCUGCCCUCUCUGACCUUUGCACAGGGAGAGCAUCCAAUCAGCCACAAAGAAACACACACACACACACAAGAAAACCCUUUUUGCUCCUUCUUCAACUGCUGCCCUGCAAGCUCUGCAAACUUUGCUUCAGGAUGAGAACAGAAAUCGUGCUCCGGCAGCGCAGCAGCAGCAGCAGCAGGAGGCCCCAUUAGCUAAAGUGGUGCUUCAGGUUAAGAACAGUUUCAGGUUAAGUACAGACCUCCGGAACGAAUUAAGUACUUAACCUGAGGUACCACUGUAUUAUCUUUUAUAUAUUAUGUUGGAAACUACUCUGUGGAUAUCAUUGGAGGUGGUUUUAGGGUAAUGUGACCAGUUCGGCCGCACUGGGUGCCAGCGUCACAGGGGGUGCUGCAGCCAUGAUGUAGAACGGAGUGCAAGAUGCGGGGGCAUCCAAUUUUAGCAUUGUUCAGGGAUCUGCUGAAAUUUGAGGGUCCAGAGGGUGCCAUGUCAUAAAGGGCAGUGUACAAAUCUGAUGAAUAAACAAUACAUAAAUUGUUGGCCCGCAUGGCAGCAGAGGAAAGAGAGAAAGCCCCAGUUUUAUUUUAUUUCUGAGGCCAAUAAAAUGUACUUGGGAGAAUCCCUUAGUUCUGCCUCACAGGUGUGCACAACUGGAGGGUAUAUUUAUUCCUUUAGGGAAGGGAACAGCACAUGCUUUCAUGGAACAUGGAAAUGCCGUUCAGUGGAACAGCACAUGCUCUCAACGCAGAGCAUCUUUCCCAGGUUCUUUCCAUGGCAUCCUCAGUUAAACAGAUCAGGUAUUUGUUUAUUUACAGCAUUCGUUCCUCACCCUUUAUCCAAAAUGGCUCUGAGAGUGGCUCACAUAAAUCAGUUCGGGGAAAGACAUGACAAUCGGGGGGAGGGGGGAAUUGGGAGGGAGGGCGGGAAAAGCAAGCUCAAUCACAUCUUGAGCUUGCAGUUCAGCACACUGAAGCUUACAAGCUUCACACACCAUGGAACCACCCCGACCAUUGGCCAUGUUGGCUGACAGUUGUUAGAAGGCCAUUCACAGAGUAACAAUUCCCAGCUCCUUUAGCAGACUAUGGUCCCCAUAACUUGUUGAAGUGGCAAAUAACCCAACAACCCACCCACCCCACACUUAUACAAACAAGCUACAAGAAAGGUAAAAGGUAAUGUAGGUAAAGGACCCCUGGACAGUUAAGUCCAGUCAAAGGCAACUAUGGGGUUGCGGCGCUCAUCUCGCUUCAGGGCGAGGGAGACGGCGUUUGUCCACAGACUGUUUUCUGGGUCAUGUGGCCAGCAUGACUGGUGCAAUGGGACACCGUGACGGAAACCAGAGCGCACGGAAAUGCUGUUUACCUUCCCACCGCAGCGGUACCUAUUUAUCUACUUGCACUGGUGUGCUUUCGAAUUGCUAGGUUGGCAGGAACUGGGACAGAGCAAUGGGAGCUCGGAUUCGAACCGCCGACCUUCCGAUCGGCAAGCCCAAGAGGCUCAGUGGUUUAGACUACAGCGCCACCUGCUCCCAGCAACACUGCAACCAACUGAAUGCAUCCAACCAAGCUCUGGACCCCCCAACCCCACGCAAUGCCAAUAAAGAUAAACAAAUAUAUAAAUAAGGGACCUACCGAUGAGUUGCUGACACAAUCCCCAUACUAACACUAUGCAAUGGAACGAUAGAACAAUACCCCCUCUUUCUUUCCCCCUUCCCUUCCCCCAGCUGCAAGAUGCCCAUGACAUUAGUAUCUCAUACUGAAGGUUAACGAACUGCUAUAUUUACUUUCCCAUAUUCUGUAACACAAGAAAAUCUUCAAUAAAAACUAAUUUAAAGAUGGUUUUAAUGCAUGGUGUGUUGGUGACCUGAGUGACCUCAGGCAACUCCUUGCGUCGGCAGCCUAAGCUGCCUGGUAGGCUUGUCGUCAGGCUUCAGAUAUUACUCUGGGCUCCUUGAAGGAAGGAGAGGAUGCAAAUGCCAACAGAUAAAUAAAGGCUCUUGCCAAGCAUUUUUAUUCUCUUCCUCCUCUAGCAUGGAAGCGAAUGUUGUGUGCCCCUUGCUUCCCAAGAUUUACAAGCCCAAGAGCAGUUUGAAGAUUGCAGAUUCAGAGGCUAACUGUUGUCAAAUGCUUAGCAAAGCCAUCUGUUUGAAGACAAAUGUUUCCUUAAUGACCAACACACAAGGAAGUUGAUGUUACAUGAAAACAAAACAAAAACCCUCUUCCUGCUGCAUUUACUUGACUGAGAAAGAAGGGGUGAGAUACAGUUGAAAAGUUAACUCUUACUGAAAGGUGAAGGUUUGUUUUCCUCCACUUAUUGGCUGUGUAUCUUGUCAUCCAUCCAUUCACAUCCUAGAGUAUAGGAAGAGUUGCACCCACUGUAUUCUUUAAAAUGAAUUCUGUUUUCUUAUUGCUUUUGUUUUAAAACUCAUUGUCCAAUUCACUGUACAGUAAGGAUGAGCAAAUCUUUAAAUUUUAGUUUCUUGUUUUUUCACUCCAAAAUUCUUCCCAUUUCCAAAUCAGUUUGAAUUUCCCCCCCAAAAAAGUCCCCAUGGAAAUUCAUCUGCAUUUUAGUGCAAAGUUAUCCUAAUAUAAGCACAGCUUUGUAUGCCAUUUUUUGCCUAAUAUGCACUUUUCCCCAAGCACUUUCCCCCUUAUUUCUGUAUACUGUUUUCAGUGGUUGGCACAUUUCUGUACACAUUGCAAAAUUCAGAAAUACACAUUUUUUUAUACCAAAAAAUGGCUGUGCUUAAGCUGUGUAUUAUUGUGAAAAGUGUGAAUUAGGUAGGUACACCUAUAAAUACAAGUGAAUUGUUAAUGGAGAAAUCCGAGGGCUCCCUUGGACAAAAAGCAAAGACACCAACCAGGACAAUUGGAGCAAAACAGCAGACAGUAGGCUUGGUAUUUAUUGAGACUGUCAUGACAGGACUCCAACUCACUACAGGAUGAAGCAAGAUGGAAGCCCUGAACAAAAGAAGACCCCAACUUUUAUUAGCUACUAAUCCCCCAUGCUACACCCCUAAGUGGGGUAAGGUAAAAGGUAAAGGACCCCUGGACAGUUAAGUCCAGUCAAAGGUGACUAUGAGGUGCGGCACUCAUCUCACUUUUCAGGCCAACGGAGCCGGCGUUUGUCCACAGACAGCUUUCCAAGUCACUUGGCCAGCAUGACUAAACAGCUUCUGGUGCAACGGAGCACCACGACAGAAGCCAGAGCGCACAGAAAUGCCAUUUACCUGCAGGCCGCAGCGGUACCUAUUCAGCGCUGUCUUUAGCAUGUGCGCCGUCGGGGUGCAAAGAUCCACCCAGUGUCCCCAAAUUUAGUUUAGCCCCCAAAUUAACACCACCACACUUAAACUUAUAAGUAUUGUUUAGGCACCUACUUAGGAGAAACAUCAGUCAUGUCAAAGGUGCUGCUGACCCCGCUGCCGCAUAGCAGCUCAAUACAAUACGUAACAUAAUAUUUUGAUGUAAGAGUUAAUUUCGCGUGCGUGGCGCUGUUGAGAAUGACAAGCGCCACCGCUGGUGUGGCACGUCUUUGGUAAAUGAGUGCGCAAAGUCGAAAGUCCUUUAGUGAAACAAUAGGUAUACAUUUUGGUAGUACCUAGGUAUAUAUGUAUUUUGUUUUUCUAGCUUGAUCAAAAUUAUUUAAUAUUUCAUAACAGGUAGAUAGUUAAGAGCUUAGGCGGCUUCAGCAGCAAGCACCUGGCGCCCCCCCGAAUUUAGCACCCGGGUGCCCCGCACCCCUUGCACCCUUGGGUAAAGACGGCCCUGCACCUAUUUAUCUACUUGCACUGGAAUGCUUUCAGACUGCGAGGUUGGCGGAAGCUUUCACUAGGAGCCAAGCCUUGAGUGUGGCAGGCCCUGCCCUGUGCAACUCCCCACCAUAUUGUUUUGACAGGCCUAUGCACUAUGGAUUUUCUCUUUUUCAUCCAAUCAGUAUUUAUUGAUGGUUUUAAUGAAUCCUUUGGGCUGACUUCAUUCUUAUAUGUUGUACACUGCCGUGAUAUAUUUUGUAUGAAAGUGUGGAUUAUAAAUACAUAAGCAAAUAAAUAACCACCGUUUGUAGAUGCUGGCAAUGAGAAAUGGAGUGUUAGCAGUGGAACAGGAUUUGGAAGGUCAUAAAUAAGCCUCUUCAUUUGCCAAACAGGCCCAAACAAUGGGCCCUAAACUCUGUCAACCCUACAGCUGUCUUAAUUAAUUCCCUCCCAUUAAUGGAAAUUGGAUUAGAAAAAGAAAACAGCGAGAAAGGGAAAGAGAAACUACCUUGGCAUAGGAAGCAGUGGUAGCCAGGGCAGUAAAAAGAUGACAACCAUAAGUGAAAGAUGCCAUCUACCUUCCAAUAAAAGUCUUUGCUGAAAUGGUUUGGAAGGUCAGUGUGUCCUAAUGGGUGCUAAAUGCAUUAUCUUCAAAGACUAGGAAGCGUGGAGACUGUGUGAGCACUUAUUGUUCCAGACCUACUGAAAUUCAGUGGGUAUAAUACUUUUUAUAAAAGGAAACGAUUGAUUUUGUUUCGUGUGUACCAAGGGAAACCAAGCUAAUGGUUAAUAAAAGUUGCUGGAGUGGUGGGAACAUACCCUUCCCCCUCUCCUGAGCUGACAUAAGUGAGCUGACAAUUCCUGGAAGGAAUAGGGUUAAGAGCCAGCAAUUUACACAUGGCACAGUGUGUGAAUGUGCUUUCAUCCUCUUCCUUAAACCCCCCAGAUGCUAGUUCUACUACUCAAAAAGGUUGCAUGAAAAUGAAGAUGUAGAGUGGAGGUGAACACAACCGUAAUUGUCUUUUCCUGGUUUGCAAGCUUUUUAUUAUUAUUAUUUGUGUGCGCUUUGUUUGAAUUUGAAUCAAAGCAGAGUUCUCUGCCUGUGGCAAACCCGCACGCUGAUUGUUGAGGUUCUCAAAAGUUUGUUGAACAAAGCCACUUUCUCACAAAGAACCAGGAACUCGAACGAUAAGCUUGUGUGGAGUAUGAGGAACCUGUUGCAACAGGAGCUGAUGUUCUCCUGCCAGGAAGGAACUUUACCUGUUUGAUAAUAAGGUCUUAGACGUUGGCUUAAAUAGCACACAAGCUUAAAAGCAAUAGGUCUUGCCUGAUAUUUAAGAAAGCAGUUUCCUCUCUUCACAUUCCUAACUGAAGUAUUCCGCAGGGCCUCUCAUAUAAUCAGUGGUGGAGCAAGCCAAUCAGGCGCCUAGGGCAGAACGCUCUGUGGGACCUUCAAGGAAUCUGCCUGCCUCCUCCCACUCAGCUGAGGGAGAGGUGGCGGGCGGAUCGUCUGGGGCCAUGCGGAGCCUGCGGGUGCCCAAGCCAUUGCAUCAUUCCCAGGAGAGAUGCGUGGCUCAGGCGCACUGCAGGCCCCACAUGGCUCUUGCUGGCUUUUGCAGGAGGUGGGGGAAGGGACAGAGGGCAGCCCCUCAGUCUCUUCCCCCACCUUGCGGAGAAGCUCGCAAGAGCCACGCUCCCUUUAAAGAGCCAUGUGGAGCACGUGUGCGGCUCUUGGGGGCUUUUCCCCGAGGAGGGAGAAGGCACUGAUGGGCUGCCCUUCUCCCUCCUCGGGGAAAAGCCUCCAAGAGCCACACACACACUCCACACGGCUCUUUAAUGGGAGCACUGAGCAGAGCUUCCUGCGUGCAUUCGCUCCAUAAGACACACACACAUUUCCCCUUACUUUUUAGGAGGGAAGAAGAAGAAGAAGAGUUUGGAUUUGAUAUCCCGCCUUUCACUCCCCUUCAGGAGUCUCAAAGCGGCUAACAUUCUCCUUUCCCUUCCUCCCCCACAACAAACACUCUGUGAGGUGAGUGGGGCUGAGAGACUUCAAAGAAGUAUGACUGGCCCAAGGUCACCCAGCAGCUGCAUGUGGAGGAGCGGAGACGCGAACCCAGUUCCCCAGAUUACGAGACUACCGCUCUUAACCACUACACCACACUGGCUCUCGUGUGUCUUAUAGUGUGUCUUAUAGAGCAAAAAAUACGGUAACUUUUUCCAUGUUACUGAUCAUCCUUCCUCCUACUGCAGCCAGUAGGCAUGAGUCAGGCAUUAUAUUUAUAAUCACCUUUAAUGGUUUAAAAGUCAGCUUUGAUUGUCUUACAUUAAUUGGGGUAAUGCCCAAAUCCUAUUAGCAAUUUAUGGGUUACAAAGGUUGAAUGGGCAAAGUAUAAUGUCAUAUUCUCCACCAAUUGCAGACACUGAUUCAGAAUUUUUACUGGUUCCCUAGAUUCAAAUUAAAAGAAGUGAGGCACUCAGGUAUUGGUGACAACUCAGGCCAGUUUUCCAGGUGACCUCUCUCUGUGUCUUUAUGUAAAUGUUAAAUACCCUAUCGGGGAUAAAAAUUGCCCUUGAGAGGCCCCAUGGGUUAGUGGCCAAGAGGCUAAAGAAUAAUCCCUCAGCACCACUGCUGGGAUGUGCUCCCCCAGACAGACUUCUUUCAGUGUGGAUUAUUUAGUUCAGAGGAGACCAUGAGACCCUUUUUGGAGGACCAGCUUGGACUGUGAAGAAAUUCCAUGCAUCAGAAGACCAAGGUGGAAGAGGGCAUUCUACUGUCUUGUUAAAUAGUAAUGAUUUAAUACCUGCUAAGGGACGCAGGUGGCGCUGUGGGUUAAACCACAGAGCCUAGGGCUUGCCGAUCAGAAGGUCGGCGGUUCGAAUCCCCGCAACAGGCUGAGCUCCCAUUACUCGGUCCCAGCUCCUGCCAACCUAGCAGUUCGGAAGCACAUCAAAGUGCAAGUAGAUAAAUAGGUACUGCUCUGGCGGGAAGGUAAACGGCAUUUCCGUGCACUGCUCUGGUUCACCAUAAGCAGCUUAGUCAUGCUGGCCACAUGGCCCAGAAGCUGUAUGCUGGCUCCCUCAGCCAAUAAAGCGAGAUGAGCGCCGCAACCCCAGAGUCAUCCGUGACUGGACCUAUUGGUCAGGGGUCCCUUUACCUUUAAGUAGGAGUUGAGUGUAUGGACAUCCACUAUUCCCAUGAUUGUGAUUUCAGUGGUCUUGAGGAAGCUUAACUCUGUGUUUGGCUGUGGCCAAUGCACAAACAUGUCUGCAUAUGACCGUAUAGUGCACAGCUGUGUAUCAAGCAUGCUCAAAACCAUUAUUAUUUUUCCAUGGCUUGUGGCUUGAAUACGCAAUAGGAGCUCAGCAUGCAUGCUAUUGAGCUGGAAAUCAUUGUAAACAACCUCAUUUGGCUUUGUUAAAAGGUUUGAUUAAAAGUACUGAAACAUCAUUCCUCUUUUAUCGCAGUGUGCAAGUGUAAGUAGACGGGCAGCAUUUAGUUUCUUGUAAUAGAUACUCCCUUGGUGUCACUAUGUUGUGCCACAAAUAGAUUGUUGCUGUCUUUGAGAUGUUCCUUGUAGAGUGCAACCGGUAUUAACUUGCUUAUACAUUGAGCCUGGCCAAACAAACAACCCCUGACAACCUUCUGCUUCUAUAUAUGUAUAAUAGGAAUGGAAAUGUUAUGCUGUCAGUCAGGGAAUUCAAGACUUGGUAUUCAUGGCAUCACCUACUUAGCUAAGUUUAAUGUGCUGUGUGUCGACAGUGAGCAAUUGAACCAAACUGAUUAUCAGAUUUUUCAUCAAGUUCUAUUUCUCAGGUUGAAUAACACGGCACAAUUGGUUACUGGCUCAAUAGCAAGGGACUGAAUUUAUGCAAUAAAUGCUCCCUACAUACAGUUUGUAUACAAAGCCAGUGACCGCUUGCCAUAUACAGCCAUGAUUGAUAUUAAUUAAUCUAGAAAUAAUAUAACUACUAUUCAUAGUGACUUUAAUAGAAGCCAUUUGCACCAGUACAGUGGUACCUUGGGUUACAGACGCUUCAGGUUACAGACGCUUCAGGUUACAGACUCCACUAACCCAGAAAUAGUACUUCGGGUUAAGAAUUUUGCUUCAGGAUGAGAACAGAAAUCAUGCUCCGGCGGCACAGGGGCAGCAGGAGGCCCAUUAGCUAAAGUGGUGCUUCAGGUUAAGAACAAUUUCAGGUUAAGAACAGACCUCCAGAACGAAUUACAGGUACCACUGUAGUUUGAUAUAUAGCAGCAAUAGUGAACCCACAGUCCUCUGGAUAUUGUUGGACUCCAGUUCCCAUCAGUCUUCAGGGCUAAUUGUCAGGGAUCAUGGGAGUUGUAGUCUAAUAACAUGUGGAGUGCCACAGGCUCUACGCCCCGGCUACAGGGAGUAUACAGUGGUACCUCGGGUUAAGUACUUAAUUCAUUCCGGAGGUCUGUUCUUAACCUGAAACUGUUCUUAACCUGAAGCACCACUUUAGCUAAUGGGGCCUCCUGCUGCCGCCUCGCUGCCGGAGCACAAUUUCUGUUCUGAUCCUGAAGCAAAGUUCUUAACCCGAAGUAAUAUUUCUGGGUUAGCGGAGUCUGUAACCUGAAGUGUAUAUAACCUGAAGCGUAUGUAACCCAAGGUACCACUGUAUUAAACUACUGUGGGAAUCAGUGGGUUUGUAUAGAUCAGAUGCCAAAAUUAUCUCCUAGUCCAUUUCCUUGACUGCAGCUCCUCAUAUACCAAGGAACCAAACGGGCUCCAAUGUGCUUGAGAGGGCAAUGGUGUCAAUGGUCCGAUGAGUCUUGCCAUUCCAUAGUGAAACGAGGGCCUCAACAGCAUCGUCUGUUUUAUCCACUGGAAAAUCCAUCUCCUUCCAAGGGGAUGAAGCCUGGCAAAUUCCAGAAAGAAAAGUGCAGCAGUUCUAUUGCAAAGGCAGAUUUCACACUUGGGGCGGGGGAUAGAAAACACAUUUUCUUCCCCCAGUUUCCCCACCCACAGAGGUCAAUUUCAAAACUGGGGGCAUGACGGACGUGUCCCUAUUUAAGAAACCUGCCGGAGUGCAAACAAAUAGCUCCAGAGGUUGUCGUGCUAGGUUCUUUUUUUCCUUUGCUCAAAAAAAUUGAAAAGUCAUUCCCCCCCCAUUGUCCCCCCCCCCAAAGGAUCCUCCAUGAAGGGGAGAGGGGAAGGGAGAGGGAAAGAAGUGGACCACCACAAUAGUCAAACUUUGCGACUUAUCUUCUGUUCUCACAGCCAGACUCAGAGGUCCCUAUAAAUUUUAUUAUCUUAACCUGUAUAUUAAGGUACUUUUAUAGCUCUGUUUAGAGUAGGUAAUGUCUUGAUAAUAUAAAUGUUUUAAGUUUUUUGUAUUAAUCCAGCAUAUUUUCUUUUAAUUGUUGAAUGAUCCUGUAUACAUUGUGGCAGCCUUUGGCUAUGUGCAAUUAAACUGACUGACUGACUACUCAGAGGACCCACAUGAUGAAUAACUUUACUUCACCAUCCCUCCCCCCCCAUCACGGUGAUUGGAGUGUCCUCGGAAAACAAUGUAAUUGUGAUUAAAAACUAGGCCCAUACAUCAAAACAAAAGACCCUCCAUUCUCCACCACACCUCCCUGCUCUCCACUGGCUCCUUUCAUGAGCUCUGAGAGUUUCCUCAGGUAACUUGGAGAAGUUUCUCAGAAAAGAAAAUGCCCGGUCUUUUGGGCGGAGGUUGGAAGAACUGAUGCUGCAGAGUUACUUGGAAAGUAGGAGAGUCCCCAAUCUGCCUCGACACACCUUGUUUGUAGCAAGACCUGAGUCUGCCUUGAAUCACCCUGAGUCACCUCGUAGUUCGGAGUGCACACUAUAUGCCCCUUUGAGAUCAGUCUGCUUAAGCCUCUUGGUUUCCGUGAGCUUCUGCAUGCUUCAGUACUGCAUUGGACAAUGCAGUGACAUAUUUGAAGAACUCCCUGGAGGAGAAGGAGGCUUUGAACGUGCAUUUGGGUGGCAGGCCAGUCUGCACCUUUGUUCUAUCUUCAGUAUGUACAGUACUCGGAUAAUGAGGCCAUUGGGACCCUAAGGAGCAAAAACUUUCCCUGGGGUGUGAAGCAAGAAUCAGAGUGAGCCAUUUUUUCCACUAGUAAGUGCUUCCCAGCAAUGAUUCUCUGAAUGCCUCAUCCCGAAGCAUAAAUCAAACACACUGAACUAUUCUGUGCAUGUUGAAUCCCGUGUUUUUUUAAUGUCCACAAGGUGGCGGACUGAUGACCCACAAUAUCCCACCAUUAAGUGGCUGCGAGAGAGCCCAGGUUAGGAGAACGGGUCUUUUGCAUGUUUGUUUCUGUCCCUGCUCUUUUGACAAGGUGGGGCACUCCAGUAUGAAAAAGAAGAAUUGGGAUUCAUGUAAAAGUAUCCACCUUUAAGAAAAAUCAAACAGAGCAACAAAACAAACCAACCACAACCUCCAUGGAACUAUGUAAAACUCAGAGAUUCCCUCCUUCUUUGCCUAGAAAAGUGAAACUAACACUAGGAAAAAAUUAAGUAUGACAAGUCAGAUUGGUUUGGGGAUUUGGAGCUUUCAAGAAGCCCACAAUUCCAUUGCACAAGAGUUUUGAGCAAACUUGAAUGUCAGCAAUGGUUAGAUGUGAAGCAAGGAACAGGUUGAUGAUUCUGACUCCUCAAGGGGCAUAGGUUUCAAAGCGUAUCUCUAAACAUUAUUGUGUUGAAUGUUAGGGAUGUAUGCCCACUGCUUCCUCCUCAAAAGUAUUUGUGCUCCUCAAGCAUUCUGUUCAAAGCCCCCAAAACCCUUGAGGACAAAACUGGCUUGCUGUGUGGAGCAGAGUCACAACAUUAUCUUCCCAGCAGCAGCGGCCUGCAGCUUACUGGGACAGAGAAAGGAAGAUUGGGGCUGUGCGGGAUAGGGUUGCCAUACGUCCGGGAAAACCCGGACAUAUCCUCUGGGGGGGGCAACAUGUCCAUCUGGGCAGAUGUUUACAUUUUAAAGGAAAUGUCUGGGGUAUUUGGGCUCGGGCAAUUCAGGCUGAGGCUUGGGCUGCUCUGCAUGCCUCAGCCACUGCCAGCCCGAGCUGGGAAAAGAUGCGCGCAGGCACAGUGGUGGCAUCCCCGCUUACCUGUGCAUCUCUUUUGCCAGCUCAGGCUGGCAGUGGCUUGGGGUGUCCUCUUUUUUGCUCUUCAAGAUAUGGCAACCCAGGAGCACUGGCACAGCCAAUCCAGUGUUCCUGCCAGUCCACCCACUCAGCUUUAGAGAAUGGCCACACACUGUUGUCCACCGCACCUUCCAUUGUGUCCUAGACAGAAGCUUCCUGUCUGCCCUUGGUUCAAUGCAGGCUUGGUUCAAUGCAGGAUUGGCGUUGGACUCUUGGUUUCCCCACACCCAUUGACAUCACACUGGCCUUGGCAGAGUGAUCAGGGCUCCAGGGCCUUUCACCACCUUUUUGGUAGAUAGCUGAAAAUGGGAAUGAACACAAUGAGGCAUCUUCUGGGAGAUGAAGGGGUACUUCCUCAAUGCCAUGGAGCUCUAGGGUGGGACUGACAAACUCUCUCCAUGUCUCGAGAAUAUGAGGCAGGCAGAAUUCCCUUAGAACAGUUAAUGUGCUGGUGAGAAAGGUCCUUGUUACUUUCCACAUCAUUUAGAUUCGAUUAUUGCCCAUUCACAUUUAAAAACAUCCCUCAAAAGAGACAGAUGGGGGGUUGCCAGUCUCUUUCUCCCUAUCGUUGCCACUAGUUACUUGUAGAAAUCUCUUGAACAGACUCUGGCACAACAUCCUUUAAAACAACUUUUUUUGCCUAUUUGUUAUGUAUUGUAAAGAUACAAUGUUAAUUUGAAGUCAUUCAUAAACAUACCACCUUACCCUUGUAUUUCUGUAUAUCUUGUUUUUUGCAAGAUGCUUUUAGUUUCUUUGUAGGGGUGGGUGGGAUAUGCAUUUUAAAAACAAAUAAAAAGGGAGAGCUAUCAUCUCAGGCUUCUACUUUUGAGAAGACGGUUUUCUGUUUUGCCUUUUACCCAUAAUACGGUCACUAGUGAAUGUAGUAAGCAGUUAACUAUCCAUCUUUUCUCUGAAAGUUUACAUAUUAACGUACCCCAUAAGUUUCAAUGGAACAGAAGGAUAUUGUAUCAUAGCCUGCAAAGCACAAAUGAGUUUACCCACACACUUUCAUACCCCAGCUAGCACAAUGGAACCCUUCAGUUAAAUUAAAAAUAAUCCCACACUUCUGCAAAGUGCACCACUACUCAUUUUCACCCGUCUUCCCACAGUUCAACAGAGACUUCUUUUAGGUGGGAGAAUGAUCAGCAUGAUCACAGAUUUGCAAGUAUUUUAUUCAAUAAACCUCUAGCAAGCAGCACCCAUGUGUCCCUAGGAUUACAGUCAUACCUCAGGUUACAGACGCUUCGGGUUGUGCGAUUUCGGGUUGCUCACCGUGCUGAACCUGGAAGUACCGGAAUGGGUUACUUCUGGGUUUCAGUGCUUGCGCAUGUGCAGAAGCGCCGAAUCGCAACCCGUGCAUGCAUAGACACGGCGCUGCGGGUUGCGAAAGCUGCAGGUUGCGAACGUGCUUCCCACAUGGAUCACAUUUGCAACCCCAGCGUCCACUGUAUAGUUUAUGGCAGCUAUAGUUCCAUUCCAUUCUAUUUUUUUAAUCCCAACUCUGUGUAUAUUUGAACUAGCAACUUUCCAAAUGUGUUUGUGCCUGCUUUGCAGACUGUGCCACAGAGUUCCUUUCUUGCUGCUACUACCUAGUUGUAUUGUGGAAGUAAAUUGUUUUGCAGCUGUGGGACUUAUAAGCCAGGAUUGCAAGGUAUAGUUGCAAAACUGUAGGGAACCAAAAGUGUAACAGUGCUUCAAAUAUGCCUGAGAAAUAACGGAGCAUAAGAACUGGAAUUCAGAAUGAAAAUCCUCAGGCAUUGUUUUCUCCCUGCAGUGUGCACUCUCUGAACCUAUGUGGGAUCCAUGCUAUGGUGAAGAGCCCUGAAGCGAAAACAUAG
Molecule: non-coding RNA, 24324 nt
Organism: Podarcis lilfordi (Lilford's wall lizard)
Lineage: Eukaryota; Metazoa; Chordata; Lepidosauria; Squamata; Lacertidae
Source: the annotation of a GenBank genome assembly